This 257-nucleotide ribosomal RNA is filed under the name uncultured bacterium. RNAcentral describes it as "partial small subunit ribosomal RNA". It matches the Rfam family "Bacterial small subunit ribosomal RNA", at positions 26 to 285 of the family's 1533-position model. The record is from RNAcentral.
AGGACGAACGCUGGCGGCGUGCUUAACACAUGCAAGUCGAACGCUGAAGCCGCUUCGGUGGUGGAUGAGUGGCGAACGGGUGAGUAACACGUGGGCAACCUGCCCUCAGCUCUGGGAUAACUCCGGGAAACCGGGGCUAAUACUGGAUAUGAUCACUGGCCGCAUGGUCUGGUGGUGGAAAGUUUUUCGGCUGAGGAUGGGCCCGCGGCCUAUCAGCUUGUUGGUGGGGUAAUGGCCUACCAAGGCGACGACGGGUA